UACGUAGGGUGCGAGCGUUAAUCGGAAUUACUGGGCGUAAAGCGCACGUAGGCGGCUCAUUAAGUCAGGGGUGAAAUCCUGGAGCUCAACUCCAGAACUGCCUUUGAUACUGAUGAGCUCGAGUCCGGGAGAGGUGAGUGGAACUGCGAGUGUAGAGGUGAAAUUCGUAGAUAUUCGCAAGAACACCAGUGGCGAAGGCGGCUCACUGGCCCGGUACUGACGCUGAGGUGCGAAAGCGUGGGGAGCAAACAGG
RNAcentral lists this ribosomal RNA (253 nucleotides) under uncultured bacterium. RNAcentral's name for it is "partial 16S ribosomal RNA". It matches the Rfam family "Bacterial small subunit ribosomal RNA", at positions 524 to 776 of the family's 1533-position model. The record is from RNAcentral.